Molecule: telomerase RNA, 423 nt
Filed under: Lampetra planeri (European brook lamprey)
Lineage: Eukaryota; Metazoa; Chordata; Hyperoartia; Petromyzontiformes; Petromyzontidae
Rfam family: Vertebrate telomerase RNA
About the family: Telomerase is a ribonucleoprotein reverse transcriptase that synthesises telomeric DNA. Telomerase RNAs differ greatly in sequence and structure between vertebrates, ciliates and yeasts, but they share a 5' pseudoknot structure close to the template sequence.
Source: RNAcentral
GCCGCUCCCCGUUGGCCUCCGAGCUUUUUGCUCGUUCUAACCCUAAUUAUUUCAUUUGGCCUCUUCUCAAUUUUUGCUGAGUUUUGGCCGAGGUCCAGCAAAACGAGAGAGGCGUUCCACGGACGUUGGUUUUAAAACUUGACAAACCUCGGCUCCCACCAUUCGGGGAGUAAGGCCUCCGCAAUCGGGUGCGAGUUUACCCCCCCACCCCAAACCUCAUCGGGCUCGCUUCUCACGGCCUCGCCUGGCCCCGGCGUGCCCGGCCUUCGUGCCCUCGCCGCCGGGAGGAGUUCGUCUCCGCCGCCACGCGAGCCGAGCCCUGGGGGGGGGGCUCCACGAUGCGAGAGUAACGAGAGGGUUCAGGUCUCCGAUGGGCUUCCCCCAGAUUGGUGGGGAUUGCACCUCUGGCCGCCUCUUACAUGU